UCGUGUUCUGCGCCAUCUUUGAUAAUGUUUCUACCAAGCUGUGGGCCGUAAAGGAAUCCAGACCGGAAGUUGGUUCGUCCAGGAAAAGUAUGCCUGAGAAGCAGAAAGGGGAAAUAAUGCUAAGUUUUCAAAUCAGACGACGGCAGUUUAAGCUGAGCCACAAACAUCAGCGUCUCCUUAACCGUCAGGUGUGCCAGCAAGCGGUCGUCCUGUCUGACGUACGCCGAGCAGGACCGUACCAUCUGGCGGGUCCACGACACACCAUUAAGGAACAUUUCUCCCUCCACGCUUCCUCCGUCGUUCCUUCCCGCUAGAACGUCCAACAGGCUUGUCUUUCCGCUUCCUGAAAGUACGGAAAUAGAAACAUUGUACUGGAGCACACUGUGGAGCGGAAGUAAUUAACAACAGCUUCCUGUAACAAGCUGCCUAAUUUGAAUAGUACCUGGCGAGACUGAAGUAAAUCAUAGCAUUUCAGGCGGUGUAAUAUCACGUUUUCCAUAUGUAUUGUAUAUUUUUCCACAUGUAGCAAUUUGUAUGGUUCUCCAUAUGUGUUGUAUAAAUGUUCUAUUUAUGUUAUAUAAUUUUUCAUUUGUAUUGUAUAAUUUUCAAUUCAAUAAUUGACUUCUCUGGAGUGAAUACAUGUAAUCUUGGUAAAUCUCUCUUCUUUUGGAUUUUAGCUGAGAAAAUAAUCACAAACUAAAGGUAAAUUGAUACGCCGACCUCUAAUUUCAGUAUAAUGUACACGAUGAAAUCCAGCUUUCUAAGAAAUACAAUUUAAAUGGAAAAUUAUACAACACAAACUGAAAACUAUACCAUACAAAUAAAGAGACUGAAUAUUGCAA
Long non-coding RNA from Ostrea edulis (European flat oyster), 842 nucleotides. RefSeq lists it as uncharacterized. Lineage: Eukaryota; Metazoa; Mollusca; Bivalvia; Ostreida; Ostreidae. The record is from RefSeq and is a predicted model, not a curated record. The transcript has 2 exons.